AGACCCGAAACCCGGUGAUCUAGCCAUGGGCAGGUUGAAGGUUGGGUAACACUAACUGGAGGACCGAACCGACUAAUGUUGAAAAAUUAGCGGAUGACCUGUGGCUGGGGGUGAAAGGCCAAUCAAACCGGGAGAUAGCUGGUUCUCCCCGAAAGCUAUUUAGGUAGCGCCUCGUGAAUUCAUCUCCGGGGGUAGAGCACUGUUUCGGCUAGGGGGCCAUCCCGGCUUACCAACCCGAUGCAAACUGCGAAUACCGGAGAAUGUUAUCACGGGAGACACACGGCGGGUGCUAACGUCCGUCGUGAAGAGGGAAACAACCCAGACCGCCAGCUAAGGUCCCAAAGUCAUGGUUAAGUGGGAAACGAUGUGGGAAGGCCCAGACAGCCAGGAUGUUGGCUUAGAAGCAGCCAUCAUUUAAAGAAAGCGUAAUAGCUCACUGGUCGAGUCGGCCUGCGCGGAAGAUGUAACGGGGCUAAACCAUGCACCGAAGCUGCGGCAGCGAACGUAUCACCCAAGACAACUUUACGGAGUUGACGAUUGACGGAGCGAAGCGACGUCAAAGCGUUCAUUAAAGUCGAGUUGGCUUAGGGAUACGUUCGUUGGGUAGGGGAGCGUUCUGUAAGCCUGUGAAGGUGUGUCGUGAGGCAUGCUGGAGGUAUCAGAAGUGCGAAUGCUGACAUAAGUAACGAUAAAGCGGGUGAAAAGCCCGCUCGCCGGAAGACCAAGGGUUCCUGUCCAACGUUAAUCGGGGCAGGGUGAGUCGACCCCUAAGGCGAGGCCGAAAGGCGUAGUCGAUGGGAAACGGGUUAAUAUUCCCGUACUUGGUGUUACUGCGAAGGGGGGACGGAG
This 849-nucleotide ribosomal RNA is filed under the name Salmonella enterica. Its description in RNAcentral is "partial 23S ribosomal RNA". It matches the Rfam family "Bacterial large subunit ribosomal RNA", at positions 711 to 1477 of the family's 2925-position model. RNAcentral also lists the same sequence under 3 other names. Lineage: Bacteria; Pseudomonadati; Pseudomonadota; Gammaproteobacteria; Enterobacterales; Enterobacteriaceae. The record is from RNAcentral.